AGGAUGAACGCUGGCGGCGUGCUUAACACAUGCAAGUCGAACGGACCUUCGGGUUAGUGGCGGACGGGUGAGUAACGCGUGGGAAUCUGCCCUCAGGAGGGGGACAACAGCUGGAAACGGCUGCUAAUACCCCAUAUGCCGAGAGGUGAAAUGAAAUUCGCCUGAGGAUGAGCCCGCGUCUGAUUAGCUAGUUGGUGUGGUAAAGGCUCACCAAGGCAUCGAUCAGUAGCUGGUCUGAGAGGAUGAUCAGCCACACUGGGACUGAGACACGGCCCAGACUCCUACGGGAGGCAGCAGUGGGGAAUUUUCCGCAAUGGGCGCAAGCCUGACGGAGCAACGCCGCGUGAGGGACGAAGGCCUCUGGGCUGUAAACCUCUUUUCUCAAGGAAGAAGACAUGACGGUACUUGAGGAAUAAGCCACGGCUAAUUCCGUGCCAGCAGCCGCGGUAAUACGGGAGUGGCAAGCGUUAUCCGGAAUUAUUGGGCGUAAAGCGUCCGCAGGCGGCCCAGAAAGUCUGUUGUUAAAAAGUGGAGCUCAACUCCAUCCAGGCAAUGGAAACUACUGGGCUAGAGUGUGGUAGGGGCAGAGGGAAUUCCCGGUGUAGCGGUGAAAUGCGUAGAUAUCGGGAAGAACACCAGUGGCGAAGGCGCUCUGCUGGGCCAUAACUGACGCUCAUGGACGAAAGCCAGGGGAGCGAAAGGGAUUAGAUACCCCUGUAGUCCUGGCCGUAAACGAUGAACACUAGGUGUCGGGGGAAUCGACCCCCUCGGUGUCGUAGCCAACGCGUUAAGUGUUCCGCCUGGGGAGUACGCACGCAAGUGUGAAACUCAAAGGAAUUGACGGGGGCCCGCACAAGCGGUGGAGUAUGUGGUUUAAUUCGAUGCAACGCGAAGAACCUUACCAGGGCUUGACAUCCUGCGAACCCCUGAGAGAUCGGGGGGUGCCUUCGGGAACGCAGUGACAGGUGGUGCAUGGCUGUCGUCAGCUCGUGUCGUGAGAUGUUGGGUUAAGUCCCGCAACGAGCGCAACCCACGUCUUUAGUUGCCAGCAUUCAGUUGGGCACUCUAGAGAGACCGCCGGUGAUAAACCGGAGGAAGGUGUGGAUGACGUCAAGUCAUCAUGCCCCUUACGUCCUGGGCUACACACGUACUACAAUGCUACGGACAAAGGGCAGCAAACUCGCGAGAGCUAGCAAAUCCCAUAAACCGUGGCUCAGUUCAGAUCGUAGGCUGCAACUCGCCUACGUGAAGGAGGAAUCGCUAGUAAUCGCAGGUCAGCAUACUGCGGUGAAUACGUUCCCGGGCCUUGUACACACCGCCCGUCACACCAUGGAAGUUGGCCAUGCCCGAAGUCGUUACUCCAACCCGUAAGGGAGGAGGACGCCGAA
RNAcentral lists this ribosomal RNA (1388 nucleotides) under Cyanobium sp. Laguna Chica. Its description in RNAcentral is "bacterial SSU rRNA". It matches the Rfam family "Bacterial small subunit ribosomal RNA". Lineage: Bacteria; Bacillati; Cyanobacteriota; Cyanophyceae; Synechococcales; Prochlorococcaceae. The record is from RNAcentral.